AUUGAACGCUGGCGGCGUGCUUAACACAUGCAAGUCGAGCGGUAACAGGCGUAGCAAUACGUGCUGACGAGCGGCGAACGGGUGCGUAAUACAUGGGAAUCUGCCUAGUAGUGGGGAAUAACCCGGCGAAAGCCGGGCUAAUGCCGCAUACGAUCCACGGAUGAAAGCGGGGGACCUUCGGGCCUCGCGCUAUUGGAUGAGCCCAUGUCGGAUUAGCUAGUUGGNGAGGUAACGGCUCACCAAGGCGACGAUCCGUAGCUGGUCUGAGAGGACGGCCAGCCACACUGGGACUGAGACACGGCCCAGACUCCUACGGGAGGCAGCAGUGGGGAAUAUUGGACAAUGGGGUAACCCUGAUCCAGCGACGCCGCGUGUGUGAAGAAGGCCUGC
Molecule: ribosomal RNA, 390 nt
Filed under: uncultured bacterium
Lineage: Bacteria
Description: bacterial SSU rRNA
Rfam family: Bacterial small subunit ribosomal RNA
Source: RNAcentral